CGGGCAGUAGGCCAGUGGUAGAGCUCCCACUUCGUAUGCGGGAAGACCUGGGUUCGAUUCCCGGCUGAUCAC
RNAcentral lists this transfer RNA (72 nucleotides) under Toxocara canis (dog roundworm). It matches the Rfam family "tRNA". Rfam says of the family: Transfer RNA (tRNA) molecules are approximately 80 nucleotides in length. Their secondary structure includes four short double-helical elements and three loops (D, anti-codon, and T loops). Further hydrogen bonds mediate the characteristic L-shaped molecular structure. tRNAs have two regions of fundamental functional importance: the anti-codon, which is responsible for specific mRNA codon recognition, and the 3' end, to which the tRNAs corresponding amino acid is attached (by aminoacyl-tRNA synthetases). tRNAs cope with the degeneracy of the genetic code in two manners: having more than one tRNA (with a specific anti-codon) for a particular amino acid; and 'wobble' base-pairing, i.e. permitting non-standard base-pairing at the 3rd anti-codon position. Lineage: Eukaryota; Metazoa; Nematoda; Chromadorea; Rhabditida; Toxocaridae. The record is from Rfam by way of RNAcentral.